UACACAUCAAACACAUUGGGUGGCCCGCAGAGCUAUAGCGGGCAGAAUAGGGAAGCCGGUGCGAGUCCGGCGCAGUCGCGCUACUGUAACUGGCGAGCGACUCACCAGCCCCGAGAAGGGGCAUGAACAUACCACUACGCUCCGUUGAGCGCGGGAAGGUCGGUGAGAAGCGUUUGCAGCCAGAAGCCAGGAGACCUGCCCAAUAGUGCCGAUCUCA
Molecule: non-coding RNA, 217 nt
Filed under: Ktedonobacter racemifer
Lineage: Bacteria; Bacillati; Chloroflexota; Ktedonobacteria; Ktedonobacterales; Ktedonobacteraceae
Also listed under: 1 other name
Source: RNAcentral